GAUGAACGCUGGCGGCGUGCCUAAUACAUGCAAGUCGAGCGAACGGACGAGAAGCUUGCUUCUCUGAUGUUAGCGGCGGACGGGUGAGUAACACGUGGAUAACCUCCCUAUAAGACUGGGAUAACUUCGGGAAACCGGAGCUAAUACCGGAUGAUAUUUUGAACCGCAUGGUUCAAAAGUGAAAGACGGUCUUGCUGUCACUUAUAGAUGGAUCCGCGCUGCAUUAGCUAGUUGGUAAGGUAACGGCUUACCAAGGCAACGAUGCAUAGCCGACCUGAGAGGGUGAUCGGCCACACGGGAACUGAGACACGGUCCAGACUCCUACGGGAGGCAGCAGUAGGGAAUCUUCCGCAAUGGGCGAAAGCCUGACGGAGCAACGCCGCGUGAGUGAUGAAGGUCUUCGGAUCGUAAAACUCUGUUAUUAGGGAAGAACAUAUGUGUAAGUAACUGUGCACAUCUUGACGGUACCUAAUCAGAAAGCCACGGCUAACUACGUG
This 497-nucleotide ribosomal RNA is filed under the name uncultured bacterium. RNAcentral's name for it is "partial 16S ribosomal RNA". It matches the Rfam family "Bacterial small subunit ribosomal RNA", at positions 28 to 507 of the family's 1533-position model. The record is from RNAcentral.